Molecule: transfer RNA, 73 nt
Filed under: Saccoglossus kowalevskii
Lineage: Eukaryota; Metazoa; Hemichordata; Enteropneusta; Harrimaniidae
Description: tRNA-Val
Rfam family: tRNA
About the family: Transfer RNA (tRNA) molecules are approximately 80 nucleotides in length. Their secondary structure includes four short double-helical elements and three loops (D, anti-codon, and T loops). Further hydrogen bonds mediate the characteristic L-shaped molecular structure. tRNAs have two regions of fundamental functional importance: the anti-codon, which is responsible for specific mRNA codon recognition, and the 3' end, to which the tRNAs corresponding amino acid is attached (by aminoacyl-tRNA synthetases). tRNAs cope with the degeneracy of the genetic code in two manners: having more than one tRNA (with a specific anti-codon) for a particular amino acid; and 'wobble' base-pairing, i.e. permitting non-standard base-pairing at the 3rd anti-codon position.
Source: RNAcentral
GUUUUCGUAGUGUAGUGGUUAUCACGUUCGCCUCACAGGCGAAAUGCCCCCUGUUCGAACCCGGGCGAAAACA